This is a long non-coding RNA of Topomyia yanbarensis, 2634 nucleotides long. RefSeq lists it as uncharacterized. The transcript is spliced from 3 exons. Lineage: Eukaryota; Metazoa; Arthropoda; Insecta; Diptera; Culicidae. The record is from RefSeq and is a predicted model, not a curated record.
CAAAAGCCGGCUUGUUCCUCAUGACUAUAAAGAAAGUAUAUAUGCUUAUAUCGCGAUUUAACCUCGAUAAUUAUACUUAGAUAGUAAGAUAGUAAUAUUCAGUCAAGUAACAACUUUUCCAUUACGACGGGUAUCUCCGGAGAGUUAAGACAAUCGUAUCAUAUUCAAUGUUAUUGUUCUAAGAUUUUCGAUCUUCGUCGGAGUAAAGAAACUUCAAAGUUCCCUUGUCUUAUAAAAAUAUUUGUUCAAUCAAAGAAAAGCAAUACUCCCGAUGGCCGGCUGUCCGGAGUUUAAGUUGCAUAUCUUUAAGCCUAGAAUUCCCAAAUUAAUACAACAAACGAUAAAUCUUCUUGAAAUUCUCGGCAGCCGGCUGCCCAGAGCAAUUAUUAACUUAUAACGCUUCUGAGAGUCGCAUAGAUUGUAUCACAUACCAAGGUGAAUCCAGAUUUAUGUAACUAUGUAUCCCAUCCCACUAACAAAACCUCCUUUCCGUGGUAACCGUGGAGAUGCAGAGGUAUACACGGUCUCUAUAACAACGGUUAUCACACUAACAUUCCCUUCCUUCCCCGAUGACUGUAAGGACGUGGCCGGCGCCGUUAUUGACACUUAAAAAUUUGAAACUCUCGAAACGUGCACACUGAGGAUGGGAAGCUACUCCCAGGCUCCAUUCGUUGGUUCUUUGUGCAAUUUCGCUUGUUCUGGUCAAUCACGGAGUAGCAACUACGAAUUGUACGGUCAUCAUGCUCAUGCUCAUGCUCAUAAAACGACAUAAAGAAAACAAAUAAACAAAGAUUACAGAAAAACUAUCAAUAGGUUUACAAUGAAAUUCAAGAAAAUAGAGUAUAAUUAAAAACAUUCAAAAUGAUGAUUAUCCUCAGUGUUAGCAUUAGAAAGUGAUUUUUUUUAUAACGUGAUAGUCUUAAGAACCUUUGUAACAUGUUAUGUAAACAAAAACCCCGGCGUAAAAAAGCUUUUGCAAAUGCCGUGUCAAUUAAACGUUUUAUGAAAAAAAAACAAAAUAAUCCAACUUUGUUGAACUUUGCAGGAAUCGUUCCAUCUCAUUCUUUGCAGAGCGAGCCCAUUCAAAUUCCUGCUCUGAUAAGUCAGGGAAUCGUUCCAUCUCGUUCUUUGCAGAGCGAGCCCAUUCAAAUUCCUGCACUAAUAAGUCAGGAAAUUAACCCAUCGUGUCAAACACAAGAUGAGACAGGUUUUGCGAGAGCUGAUCGCGAAAGGUUCAUUGAUAAUGAAUUCGGGGUUGCAUGUAGCGUGUGUGAUAGACUUUGGUUCACCAACGAUCUGAAGUCAAUCACAGAGCAAGGAAGGAGAGUGCUGUUGGAGGCUGCAGACUUUGAGUCAGUUGCGGGAUUCAAGUUAUGCAAGACCUGUCGCAGCAGUUUGCAGCGAUGUACAGUACCAAAUCUGUCCACGUCGAACGGAUUCAAGUACCCAAGCUGUCCACCAGAUCUUCCGCCCUUGGAUCCGAUUAGCGAAAGGCUGAUUUCACCACGACUGCCGUUUAUGCAGAUUCGUCGUCUGCGCCAGGCACAAGGUGUGUUAUAAGGAUGCGCUUUGGCACUUUUUCUUUUUUAUGAAAUAUUAUUCGAAAUUGUAGGCAGUUACACCAUCAAUGAGCAGGUCAUCAAUGUUCCAGUAGAUGUAGAUGAGAUGGUUCGGGUGCUUCCUCGUCAGUUUGAAGACGAUUACGCUUUUAAUGUAUCAAUUAAAAAACAUCAAAUACCUAAAUCAAAUUACUUGUCUGGAUUCGUCAAGAAGUCGGUCGUGAAGGCUUUAAGCCAAGUCUUUAGUCACCACACCAUUAUAUAAACGGGAAGGAAUAUCUCUGUGCGAGGAUCGACUAACAGCUUUUGGUGCGGACCAACAAUCUAGUUCAUCUCAAGAAAUGAGUAUGAUAGAAUUGGAGGUCAUUGAAGCAACCAACGAUGUCUAGUUGUUUGCUGGUCAGCAACAAACGCUGUUAUGGAAUGAAGAUAAAUGUCUGGAAAUUGCUCCGGCUCAAAACAAGAGGCCGAUGUCGAUUGUUUACGAUGAAAACGCUGAAGAGCUGUCUUUUCCAGAUAUCUAUUUGGGAUAUCCAAGAAAAUUCAAAGCUGGCGUUCACGUAAUACCCUUCAUGAAGGCCACCAGUAAGCUGAGACGGAGUGAUAGACGUGGAGCAAAGCCGAAUCACUUACUGUAUAUGGCUAUGAAAAUUCUCCGUCUUCGAGUUACUGAGGGAUUGCAGCAUACCUACAAAUGUAUGGGAACUGCAAACAUAACGCGAGCCCAGCUGAGCGACAAAAGUUUCUUGGAGAAUCUCAUGGAACGAAAUCUGUCGUUUAUGAAAUCGAUUCCAAACUCAGUGCAGUAUUGGUAUCGACGUAAACAGGACCUUUUAGCCAUGAUUCGACAGCUGGGCAACCCAACAAUGUUUCUGACGCUAAGCGUGAGCGAAACUCAAUGGCCACUAUUGUUCAAACAGCUGCACAAGCUCUCAAAUCAUUAUAACGGCAUCGAUUUAACUGAACCAUUGCAUGAGUUGAAUGCUUAUCAGCGAGCGACACUGGUCAACGACGACCCAACCACUUGUUGUUUAUUCUUCAAUAAACUCGUUGAUGUCAUAAUGCAUAUUCUAUC